This is a long non-coding RNA of Cavia porcellus (domestic guinea pig), 644 nucleotides long. RefSeq lists it as uncharacterized. The record is from RefSeq and is a predicted model, not a curated record. NCBI's taxonomy places the organism in Eukaryota, Metazoa, Chordata, Mammalia, Rodentia, Caviidae. The transcript is spliced from 4 exons.
GUUUGAUUUUCCAGUAUCCCAGAGGAACAAGGUACUGGCUCUGCUGGCUUUACACAGCCUGAAGGUAGUUUCUAUUGCGGCUGCAGCUCCUCUUAGGGGCUGAGGUCACUUGUGAAGAAAGACCUUGGAGACCUCCUGAGACCCGCAUGUAUGGCAGGGAGAGCAAGGACAGAUGCCCUCAGCCACAAGGCCAGGCCCCUGUGUGUGUGAAACGUUCAAUAAAAGCAGUAAAGAGCACAAUGGAUAUAAUAAAAAGCUAAACUAACUACUCAAGAAAUCCUCGGAAUACUUGAAGAAAACCUAAGUGAAAUUGUGAAUAACAAGGAAGAUAGGAAAGAGGUUUCAGGACUUAUGGCAGCUGAUGACACAGCCUGCAGUACAGGAAACACUGCCAGGAAACAACUUCCAAGGUUAGGAGGUAACACCACGGAGAGUGCUCAAUGUGAUCUUCCUGAUUUGACAACUUCUGAAGAGCACAGCAGAACUGCAUUUUCAUGCUUGAGGAGAUUUCUGGUGACAUGGGACUCCCUGGAACUGCUAAUAAGGAUGUGCAUUAGGAGCCCCAGGUCAGACAAUGGACCUUGAGAUGGUUUUUCUGAGGCACAGCUGGAGGAAAGUCCCCUGUCCAGUAUUGAAAGUGGUAA